This 484-nucleotide ribosomal RNA is filed under the name uncultured bacterium. RNAcentral's name for it is "partial 16S ribosomal RNA". It matches the Rfam family "Bacterial small subunit ribosomal RNA", at positions 30 to 507 of the family's 1533-position model. The record is from RNAcentral.
AUUGAACGCUGGCGGCAGGCCUAACACAUGCCAGUCGAGCGGAUGAAGGGAGCUUGCUCCUGGAUUCAGCGGCGGACGGGUGAGUAAUGCCUAGGAAUCUGCCUGGUAGUGGGGGAUAACGUCCGGAAACGGGCGCUAAUACCGCAUACGUCCUGAGGGAGAAAGUGGGAGAUCUUCGGACCUCACGCUAUCAGAUGAGCCUAGGUCGGAUUAGCUAGUUGGUGGGGUAAAGGCCUACCAAGGCGACGAUCCGUAACUGGUCUGAGAGGAUGAUCAGUCACACUGGAACUGAGACACGGUCCAGACUCCUACGGGAGGCAGCAGUGGGGAAUAUUGGACAAUGGGCGAAAGCCUGAUCCAGCCAUGCCGCGUGUGUGAAGAAGGUCUUCGGAUUGUAAAGCACUUUAAGUUGGGAGGAAGGGCAGUAAGUUAAUACCUUGCUGUUUUGACGUUACCAACAGAAUAAGCACCGGCUAACUUCGUG